RNAcentral lists this transfer RNA (26 nucleotides) under Sphaerocarpos cristatus. Its description in RNAcentral is "partial tRNA-Lys". Lineage: Eukaryota; Viridiplantae; Streptophyta; Marchantiopsida; Sphaerocarpales; Sphaerocarpaceae. The record is from RNAcentral.
AGUUCCGGGUUCGAGCCCCGGGCAAC